RNAcentral lists this ribosomal RNA (341 nucleotides) under uncultured Lachnospiraceae bacterium. Its description in RNAcentral is "bacterial SSU rRNA". It matches the Rfam family "Bacterial small subunit ribosomal RNA", at positions 355 to 710 of the family's 1533-position model. The record is from RNAcentral. Lineage: Bacteria; Bacillati; Bacillota; Clostridia; Lachnospirales; Lachnospiraceae.
UGGGGAAUAUUGCACAAUGGGGCGAAAGCCUGAUGCAGCGACGCCGCGUGAGUGAAGAAGUAUUUCGGUAUGUAAAGCUCUAUCAGCAGGGAAGAAGACGACGGUACCUGACUAAGAAGUCCCGGCUAACUACGUGCCAGCAGCCGCGGUAAUACGUAGGGGACAAGCGUUAUCCGGAUUUACUGGGUGUAAAGGGAGCGUAGGCGGUCAGACAAGCCAGAAGUGAAAACCCGCGGCUUAACUGCGAGGAUUGCUUUUGGAACUGCCUGACUGGAGUACUGGAGGGGUAAGCGGAAUUCCGUGGUGUAGCGGUGAAAUGCGUAGAUAUCAGGAGGAACACC